RNAcentral lists this ribosomal RNA (426 nucleotides) under uncultured bacterium. Its description in RNAcentral is "partial 16S ribosomal RNA". It matches the Rfam family "Bacterial small subunit ribosomal RNA", at positions 354 to 796 of the family's 1533-position model. The record is from RNAcentral.
GUGAGGAAUUUUCCGCAAUGGGCGAAAGCCUGACGGAGCAAUGCCGCGUGAAGGAUGAAGGCCUAUGGGUUGUAAACUUCUUUUCUUAGAGAAGUAUAUUGACGGUAUCUGAGGAAUAAGCAUCGGCUAACUCUGUGCCAGCAGCCGCGGUAAGACAGAGGAUGCAAGCGUUAUCCGGAAUGAUUGGGCGUAAAGCGUCUGUAGGUGGCUUCAAAAGUCUCCUGUCAAAGAUCAGGGCUUAACCCUGGGCCGGCAGGAGAAACUCUGAGGCUAGAGUUUGGUAGGGGCAGAGGGAAUUCCCGGUGGAGCGGUGAAAUGCGUAGAGAUCGGGAGGAACACCAAAGGCGAAAGCACUCUGCUGGGCCACAACUGACACUGAGAGACGAAAGCGAGGGGAGCAAAAGGGAUUAGAAACCCGAGUAGUCC